Molecule: ribosomal RNA, 459 nt
Filed under: uncultured bacterium
Lineage: Bacteria
Description: SSU rRNA
Rfam family: Bacterial small subunit ribosomal RNA
Source: RNAcentral
AGAAUCAACGCUGGCGGCGUGCCUAACACAUGCAAGUCGAACGAGAAAGUGGGAGCAAUCCCACGAGUAAAGUGGCGCACGGGUGAGUAACACGUGACUAACCUACCCUUGAGUGGGGGAUAACCUAGGGAAACCUGGGCUAAUACCGCAUAAUACCUACGGGUCAAAGGAGCAAUUCGCUUAAGGAGGGGGUCGCGGCAGAUUAGUUAGUUGGCGGGGUAAUGGCCCACCAAGACAGUGAUCUGUAUCCGGCCUGAGAGGGCGCACGGACACACUGGAACUGAAACACGGUCCAGACUCCUACGGGAGGCAGCAGUGGGGAAUUUGCGCAAUGGGGAAACCCUGACGCAGCAACGCCGCGUGGAGGAUGAAGCCCCUUGGGGCGUAAACUCCUUUCGAUCGGGAAGAUAAUGACGGUACCGGAAGAGAAGCCCCGGCUAACUUCGUGCCAGCAGCCGC